This is a long non-coding RNA of Betta splendens (Siamese fighting fish), 2283 nucleotides long. Lineage: Eukaryota; Metazoa; Chordata; Actinopteri; Anabantiformes; Osphronemidae. The record is from Ensembl.
GUUCAGCCCAGUCACGCUCAGUCCUUGUCCCAGUCAGAGGGCACCGUCCGUCUGACGACUGUUAGUCCUACCCAAUCAGGCCCGACGUCUUCCCCGUCGAGCUCGGCAGCUGUAAGCUGUCAUGCCAGCUCCGGAGUUGACGCCGUUCCAGUCCCUGUCGGCCAUGUUGCGGCCGUUCCAGUCCCUGUCGGCCAUGUUGCGGCCGUUCCAGUCCCUGUCGGCCAUGUUGCGGCCGUUCCAGUCCCUGUCGGCCAUGUUGCGGCCGUUCCAGUCCCUGUCGGCCAAGUAGCGGCCGUUCCAGUUCCUGUUCCUGUCGGCCAAGUAGAUGCCGUUCCAGUUCCUGUUCCUGUCGGCCAAGUAGAUGCCGUUCCAGUUCCUGUUCCUGUCGGCCAAGUAGAUGCCGUUCCUGCCCCUGUCGGCCAUGUUGAGGUCGUUCCUGCCCCUGUCGGCCAUGUUGAGGUCGUUCCUGCCCCUGUCGGCCAUGUUGAGGUCGUUCCUGCCCCUGUCGGCCAUGUUGAGGUCGUUCCUGCCCCUGUCGGCCAUGUUGAGGUCGUUCCUGCCCCUGUCGGCCAUGUUGAGGUCGUUCCUGUUCCUGUCGGCCAUGUUGAGGUCGUUCCAGUUCCUGUUCCUGUCGGCCAAGUAGAGGUCGUUCCAGUUCCUGUUCCUGUCGGCCAAGUUGAGGUCGUUCCAGUUCCUGUCCCUGUCGGCCCAGUUGAGGUCGUUCCAGUUCCUGUCCCUGUCGGCCCAGUUGAGGUCGUUCCAGUUCCUGUCCCUGUCGGCCAAGUUGAGGUCGUUCCAGUUCCUGUCCCUGUCGGCCAAGUUGAGGUCGUUCCAGUUCCUGUCCCUGUCGGCCCAGUUGAGGUCGUUCCAGUUCCUGUCCCUGUCGGCCCAGUUGAGGUCGUUCCAGUUCCUGUCUCUGUCGGCCAAGUUGAGGGCGUUCCCGUAGGCCAAGUUGAGGGCGUUCCCGUAGGCCAAGUUGAGGGCGUUCCCGUAGGCCAAGUUGAGGGCGUUCCCGUAGGCCAAGUUGAGGGCGUUCCCGUAGGCCAAGUUGAGGGCGUUCCCGUAGGCCAAGUUGAGGGCGUUCCCGUAGGCCAAGUAGAGGGCACCCCUGUCUCUGAUCCCGUUCCUGUCGGCCCUGUAGCGGUCGUUCCAGUCCCCGUUCCGGUCGGCCCUGUAGCGGUCGUUCCAGUCCCCGUCACCCUUGGAGCCGCAGCGCCCGCCGGCCCCCAGGAGGAGGCAGCACCUGCUGCAGUUCCUGCGCACCUCCAGGAGGAGGCAGCACCUGCUGCAGUUCCUGCGCACCUCCAGGAGGAGGUCGCCCCAGCCGCAGUUCCUGCGCACCUCCAGGAGGAGGUCGCGCCAGUCGCAGUUCCUGCGCACCUCCAGGAGGAGGUCGCGCCAGUCGCAGUUCCUGCGCACCUCCAGGAGGAGGUCGCGCCAGUCGCAGUUCCUGCGCACCUCCAGGAGGAGGUCGCGCCAGCCGCAGUUCCUGCGCACCUCCAGGAGGAGGUCGCGCCAGCCGCAGUUCCUGCGCACCUCCAGGAGGAGGUCGCGCCAGCCGCAGUUCCUGCGCACCUCCAGGAGGAGGUCGCGCCAGCCGCAGUUCCUGCGCACCUCCAGGAGGAGGCCGCGCCAGCCGCAGUUCCUGCGCACCUCCAGGAGGAGGUCGCGCCAGCCGCAGUUCCUGCGCACCUCCAGGAGGAGGUCGCGCCAGCCGCAGUUCCUGCGCACCUCCAGGAGGAGGUCGCGCCAGCCGCAGUUCCUGCGCACCUCCAGGAGGAGGUCGCGCCAGCCGCAGUUCCUGCGCACCUCCAGGAGGAGGUCGCGCCAGCCGCAGUUCCUGCGCACCUCCAGGAGGAGGUCGCGCCAGUUGCAGUUCCUGCGCACCUCCAGGAGGAGGUCGCGCCAGUUGCAGUUCCUGCGCACCUCCAGGAGGAGGUCGCGCCAGUUGCAGUUCCUGCGCACCUCCAGGAGGAGGUCGCGCCAGCCGCAGUUUCUGCGCACCUCCAGGAGGAGGUCGCGCCAGCCGCAGUUUCUGCGCACCUCCAGGAGGAGGUCGCGCCAGCCGCAGUUUCUGCGCACCUCCAGGAGGAGGUCGCGCCAGCCGCAGUUCCUGCGCACCUCCAGGAGGAGGUCGCGCCAGCCGCAGUUCCUGCGCACCUCCAGGAGGAGGUCGCGCCAGCCGCAGUUCCUGCGCACCUCCAGGAGGAGGUCGCGCCAGUUGCAGUUCCUGCGCACCUCCAGGAGAAUUACUAUUGCAACAACACAUCAUCAGUAGGGUAA